This is a long non-coding RNA of Oncorhynchus gorbuscha (pink salmon), 765 nucleotides long. RefSeq lists it as uncharacterized. The record is from RefSeq and is a predicted model, not a curated record. The transcript is spliced from 4 exons. Lineage: Eukaryota; Metazoa; Chordata; Actinopteri; Salmoniformes; Salmonidae.
AAGACGUGUCGAACAUGAAAUUGAGGAGGAGGAGAAGGCAGCAGACAGACUGCUGUUCAGUUACCUCACCCUGGUCACCAAACUCACCAAGGACUGUAGCCUACUGGAGCUCAGCAAGUCUCAAGACCCACUCACUAACAUCCUGGACCCCACCCUGAAAAACCUGUCCCAGGAGCUGUUGAAGAAGCAGGUGGGGCUGCAGACCUUCUCAGCCGUUCAGAAGGAUGCCUCAGAGGGCGGCCCACCGCAAGAAACACAAGGCUAUGCAGGCGGUGGUUAACCCUGACAUCGCAGCCAGGACGAAACACAAAAACAAGAUAGAGGCCAAGAAGGAAGAUUGAGUUUCUGAGGCCUGGCUACAAAGCCAAGAGACAGAGGAACUCACUCAAGGACUUGGCUAUGGUGAAAUGAUAUUAUCCAUUUUCUAGCAAGGAUGGAUGAGAAGACCAGGCAAUCAUAUCCUGCUUAAUGCAGGAGCUGACAGUCACCUCUGUAUGAAUUCUUAGUCAAGGAUUUGAGUAGUCCACGAUUGUCUAAGGGGUUUACACACACAACUUUUUCAAUUAAAUACUAUAUUGUGCUGCUUUCUUUGAACAAUCUUAUUGGAAAAGUAUGUGGUCCUGUUGAACAUUACAAUAAUGCUUCUUGGGUGGGAGAUAAAUCAUUUGACCACAAAGUUGUAUAUAUUCAGUCUGAAAUCCGUGUUACUGAGGGUCGUUUUCACUGUACAAGCUCAAAUAUGCAAUAAAAGUUGUAGCAUACAAA